GCAUCGGUGGUUCAGUGGUAGAAUGCUCGCCUGCCGGUUCGAUUCCGCUGAUACA
This 55-nucleotide transfer RNA is filed under the name Cordylochernes scorpioides. Its description in RNAcentral is "tRNA-Ser". The record is from RNAcentral. Lineage: Eukaryota; Metazoa; Arthropoda; Arachnida; Pseudoscorpiones; Chernetidae.